GGUAAAUAAAAAAAGUGCCUAUUUUUCGUUUUAGUAAGAGAAUAGACUAAAUUUUCAGGAACACCUGUUGAUAUGCUAAAGUAGCAUCCGGGUUCCAGCCUGAUUAUUCCUUCUGUAAGGUCUUUCUAGUUGGAUAGGGCUUAAUUUUCUAUUUUGAUUGACGGGAUGUGUAUUAUUACGUCGCUAAUGAUAAAUAGGCUGAGUGAAGAGUUAUAUCAUAUGAUGCAAGAAGUAUGUAUUCAUAAUUUCAUAUUCAAACAAGAUUGCAGUAGCAUCUCAACACGAAGAGCCUUAGUUGGAUAAAGUUUCAAAUCUUUGCAGCGAGUUAGCUGAUGAUGUAAAACUGUUCCUGAUUAAGGCUCUUUGGAAUUGGAAUGCUAAAGCAUCCUCCUUUACGACACUAUAUUCUGAGCAAAAAGAAAAAAGUGUAUGUUUUGAAUAUGACGGUUGUCCAUUGAUUUGAGGAUCAUUUAGAAGAUCCGAUGAGGCCAGUGACUAGGGCCAGGCAUUCGUGAUUGCAAACCCCUCGUCCAUCCCUAUAGUUGUACAAUUUAUUUACAGGGACUAGGACCAGGACUAGGCGAUGAAAAUUCGCCAACUUUAUUAAUGUUGAGUUGGACCGCAUUUGUCGUCAAAUUAACGGGGCCAAAUUUCAGGUGGAAGGGCCAUCAGUUUUUGCAGCCACUAAGUAGAAGUUUUUCCUGAU
RNAcentral lists this long non-coding RNA (706 nucleotides) under Malus domestica (apple). Its description in RNAcentral is "long non-coding RNA (MDOM_LNC012018)". The record is from RNAcentral. Lineage: Eukaryota; Viridiplantae; Streptophyta; Magnoliopsida; Rosales; Rosaceae.